This 500-nucleotide ribosomal RNA is filed under the name uncultured archaeon. Its description in RNAcentral is "bacterial SSU rRNA". It matches the Rfam family "Bacterial small subunit ribosomal RNA", at positions 899 to 1397 of the family's 1533-position model. The record is from RNAcentral.
ACUCAAAUGAAUAGACGGGGGCCCGCACAAGCAGCGGAGCAUGUGGUUUAAUUCGAAGCAACGCGAAGAACCUUACCAGGGCUUGACAUCCCGAUGACCGGUACAGAGAUGUACCUUCCCUUCGGGGCAUUGGAGACAGGUGGUGCAUGGUUGUCGUCAGCUCGUGUCGUGAGAUGUUGGGUUAAGUCCCGCAACGAGCGCAACCCCUAUCCUUAGUUGCCAUCAGUUAAAGCUGGGCACUCUAAAGAGACUGCCGGGGAUAACUCGGAGGAAGGUGGGGAUGACGUCAAAUCAUCAUGCCCCUUAUGUCCUGGGCUACACACGUGCUACAAUGGCCUGUAACAGAGGGAAGCGAAGCCGUAAGGCGGAGCAAAACUCAGAAACCAGGUCCCAGUUCGGAUUGUGGGCUGCAACUCGCCCACAUGAAGUCGGAGUUGCUAGUAAUCGCGAAUCAGCAUGUCGCGGUGAAUACGUUCCCGGGCCUUGCACACACCGCCCGU